UGCAAAUUUUCUUUUCACUGGAUUUUUAUUUUGUUUUUCUCCUUUUUCAAAUCAUUUAAACGCGCAAGCCCUCACCCAUUUCCUCUGUGAUCCAAAUGGGUAAAAGCGCGCAUGUUGUGUUAACAUCGUGUCCUCUGUCUUCUUACCAACUCGUUAUUUAAAACGUUGGAUGGUAUUUUCAUGUUUUGUUUUGCUUAUUGAAAACCAUCGCUCUCUCUCUCUUUUUAAUCAUGACUUUUUCUUCUUGUCUAAAUCAACACCUGUUUGUAGAAUUUCCCUUGACGGGGGGGGGCGAAGUUUUAAAAGUUGUGGCUUUCACUCUGUGGACGUGUUUCCACUGGUGGCACCCCCCCCCCCCCCCCCACACACACACAACCCCCUGUGGCGCAGUGGGCCGCUUCAUGUGUGCUGUGGGCCGUGUGUUUGCCACGGUGCCAUACGGAUUGCACUAUAAAAUUCAUUUAAAGCUUAAUAACUACCCUCUCUUUAUUUGUCCUCUGCAUUUUGCAGUUGGAAACAACUGGCAAUGGCAUCGGAGGACGUUAUUACAGAACCCCACAGCAGCUUAUUGAACUGUGAAGACGGUUUACUUAUUACAUACUGUUUAGCAGAAAAGAGGAGCACUUUAUUAGCCCUUGAAUGGACUGACGGGGUAAAUGAUGAAUAACGUGGCUGAGCAUUUUCAGCUGGAGUUGCAGUCACUGAUCUGAGAAAGUAACCAAAUUGACAGGAGCCUAAUUAGUAGCUUUACACAUUAGCUUCCAAUAGUUUGGAAGAGGUCAAAGUUCUUAUUUAUGUUAAAUAUUCUCAUUUUACAUAUAGUGGACCUAAAAAGUAUGUGUUUUUUGUUUUUUUACUAUAUUUUGUGGCCAUUACUUAAUUUCCCACAGGCUGGAGGAUAAAAAGUAAAGCUCUAAGCUGUAGUGUCAUGUGCCAGUGACGCAACAAGCAUCUCGGAGGGGCUGCUGGUGGUGCCAACGGGAGAUGAGGUUGAUAAAAUACUCCGGUCAGAGACUGAUAGCUGUGUUUUUGUUCUCUGGUAUGGGUCACAAUCCUAAAAAUGCUAAUGCAAUUGAGAAAAAGAGAAGCACAAAGCAGAAUUCUCCCAGAGCUUUGACCAGUUGUAGCUGAUUCUAACUUUUCCUAAAGAGCAAAAGCAGCUGUAAUAGAAGUCGGUGUAAAAUAAGAAUGUACUUACUAUUUUAGAACCAAAACAUGCUUGUUGAGGUACCAUUUUUAGCUGCCUUUAGUCCAAUUAAUGAUUGUCACACAUAGCAAUGCAAACACUACUAUAGCAGCAGUUUCAAUGUAUAGUCCCUGGAGAGGGCAGACCCUAAUUUUACUUUUGAGAUUUUCAAAACGCCACGUACAAAUCCCAAACACUCCUGACAGAUAAAGGUCGAAAGCUCGAGAGGAUAAAAUGGAGUAACUUUGCCGUAAUACAUUUAGCCUUCCUGUUAUCUGCUGAGAGUCUCACCCUCCGUGGCUGUCUCUCAGCCUCAGUGCACCACAGUCAUGUAGAGAACGGUUUCAAAUACCUUACGCUCAGUUACAACUGGAAGUACUUAAUCACUAAAAGGUAUGGUAUGAAACUGAAAAAGCUGGAAAAUUAUUCCGUUUCCAGCUGAUUUCUCAGUACAUCACUUUUUUUUUUUUUUUAACAAUUCUGUACACUUCCUAUUUUACAGCAGUGUUUCAGACCAAGCAUAAAAGAAGAUUACGGUCCUCAGCUUAUUUGUACAAGGAGUCAUCGAUGCUUCCAAAGUAACAUUUCUAUUUAAUUUGUGCUUAAGUUGGGUUCAUAGCUCGUGACCCAGACACCGUCUGACCAGAAGGCAGAACCUCGGCUAUCUGUAAUCUAAAACUGGUUUUGACAGGUGGAAGCAGGUCUAAUCUCUGGCUUCAGCAACACAUUGCAUCAGGCUGUUGCUAAUUGGAUUCCAAAAGGGAAAAAAGAAAAAAAAAAAGCCGUCCAGGCGAACUCUUGUCAGGAACACCUCAGUUUUAGCAUCGAUUAGCUCCUGAUAAUUCUAUCGUGAACAAUUAUUGUUUUGAAGCAUCGUCCGUCUCGAAGCUUCAUGCAUUUGUACACACAGUUCUGAUCAGAAAGGUUGAGAGUUGCUUAACAAAAGGCGAGUUGUCUCCAUUCACUUCUUCCAAAGAUAACAAACGAAGUGAAAUAGAUUAAAUGACGGAAAAAGAGAUCAACACGGGACUCGGCCGCCUCCUGCAUCCAGCUGUUCUGUUCCUCUGUUUCCUGAGGAGCCGCCUCAUUAGGAUCGGAUUUUUAGUCCGGUCCUCAACAGUGAUGCCAUGGAAACGUUUCAGCGGUUUGAGGAGACGCUCAUAACUGAAUGAGUGUUUUGCUUCAAAUCGUCCGAAGCAAUACUUGGUGAUACAUUUAAAUGAGGGCAACGCAAUAUGUCAAAUGGGACUUUUUCUCUUUUUUUGCAAUGUUAAUGUGAUUUUGUAUUUUAAGUGUCUUUUGUACAAACUCUGCACGCAGACGACGCUUCUAACCCUGUUGGAUUGAAUCUCACAGGCCUUGAUUCCCAAAUUUGAUGCAUAUUUUUUUGUGGCUGAGAUGCUAAAGCUCCCAUAGAAUGGUGGGAGCGUUGCGAUAAAACAAAAGAAAGGAGGGGAAAAAGUCCGAUAAGGUUGAUUUGCUGUAAUCAGCCUUGUUGUUGCGUCCGUUAGGGUUGCUUUGAAUAGGAAAUCAAGUUUAUUUUUGCUAUCAACCUAGAAGAAAUUUAGUGCCGUUUUUCACCCUGGUAAUUGUCAGUGUGUGGCAACGCAGCCCUGCAGUUUGUGAAACCGCAUCUUUAAUUCGUUUCACUAACAACAGUAACUGGCCUAGUUCCAAUAUUAGCAUUACUUAUGAGCAUAGCCAGUGUUUUGGUCUAAACAAUUCAUUAUAUGGAUGAACCUUUGUAUUAUUUUUAUAUUUGUGUGUCGGAGGAUAACAUAUUGCAACUUUACUUUAUGACAACCAAUUUGGCGUAAUGACACACCGGGCAGCAAAGACUUAAAAUGACUUUGGUGCAUUUGACUGACGCAGAGAGUCGUCUAUCAGACCCUAGCUGCAAAUUAAAAGGGCCAGGGUUGUAGAGCUGGGUGAGGAUAAUUAACUGGAAACUGUGAAUCAUUGUCCACUGACAUCAUGGUCACAGCAACUGCCAUCUGAAAAGCAUACCCCCCCAAGUACUUAAGUAAACCUCGCACUCGGCCCGACCAAUGAAAUGCCAGCAUUUACAACUCCCCCCAGGCUUGAGAAUGGGCAGGCAACGUUGAGAAGUGGAAGCGGGGCACCCCCCCCUUACUUCCUUCUCUGUACCUCGGACUCAUUUACGAGGCAUUUGCGAUGUACUUGACUCGUGUUUCCAGAGUCACUAAAUCUGAUCUAAUUGAAAUCAUGCAGCUUGCUCGGCGGAGAUCGGGGAUUGUGUUUCAGCGGAGGGGAAAUCCCCAGCAGGUCCGUAAAGGCGUGAUGUCAUUCGUGUGGGAAUGAAGGAGAAACGGACCUUGUAGGUGUGAAGCAUCUACAUCUGAAGAUGUUUGCUAGGUGAAUCUCGGGGGGGAUCAUCACAACAUCUGGAAAGAGAACGGGUUCCCUUUCAACAAUCACCAGACCCUCCGCUUUGAAUUCCAGAUACACUGUAAGAGGUGAAGUGUAGGACAGGGUCGUGAAAUGCUUCCUUUCGCCUCAGCUCGGGUCAUCCUUCUCAAGAAAACUUGGUCUCGGCCCAAGGGAGGCGUAACUUUUGAGUUGCUGAAAGCAUGUCUAAAGGAUGGGACAGAUACUCAUGUGUUUUCCAUCUCAUCAUGUGCUGCUACUAUGGAUUAGUGACGCAUGUUGCUCAUGAGGAGAGACAGUGCAACACCUCUGAUUUACCAAAAUGAAGCAAACUGGGAUUAUGCCAAAACAGUGAGGGGAAAAAGAAA
Molecule: long non-coding RNA, 3942 nt
Organism: Xiphophorus couchianus (Monterrey platyfish)
Lineage: Eukaryota; Metazoa; Chordata; Actinopteri; Cyprinodontiformes; Poeciliidae
Exons: 2
Source: RefSeq, a predicted model, not a curated record